Molecule: ribosomal RNA, 465 nt
Filed under: Vreelandella stevensii
Lineage: Bacteria; Pseudomonadati; Pseudomonadota; Gammaproteobacteria; Oceanospirillales; Halomonadaceae
Description: partial 16S ribosomal RNA
Rfam family: Bacterial small subunit ribosomal RNA
Source: RNAcentral
CCUACGGGGGGCUGCAGUGGGGAAUAUUGGACAAUGGGGGCAACCCUGAUCCAGCCAUGCCGCGUGUGUGAAGAAGGCCCUCGGGUUGUAAAGCACUUUCAGUGAGGAAGGACGCCUGGUGGUUAAUACCCAUCAGGAAAGACAUCACUCACAGAAGAAGCACCGGCUAACUCCGUGCCAGCAGCCGCGGUAAUACGGAGGGUGCGAGCGUUAAUCGGAAUUACUGGGCGUAAAGCGCGCGUAGGUGGCUUGAUAAGCCGGUUGUGAAAGCCCCGGGCUCAACCUGGGAACGGCAUCCGGAACUGUCAAGCUAGAGUGCAGGAGAGGAAGGUAGAAUUCCCGGUGUAGCGGUGAAAUGCGUAGAGAUCGGGAGGAAUACCAGUGGCGAAGGCGGCCUUCUGGACUGACACUGACACUGAGGUGCGAAAGCGUGGGUAGCAAACAGGAUUAGAUACCCCGGUAGUC